UCCUUGCACAAAGAGUCUCAGCAGGGCUUAGACUGAACAUGGGUGUCCUGCCUCUGCUUUUCUGUCUUCUGCUGCCCUGGUGCCCAGUCACCAGUGGGAGUGCUGCACUGACACAGUCUCCAGGCUUCCUGAGGGCAACUCCAGGAGAGAGCAUCUCCAUCAUCUGCAGGGCCAAUGAGAGUGUUAGUGAUUAUUUAACCUGGUAUCAGCAGAAGCCAGGCCAGGUUCCUAGGAUUCUCAUCUAUGAUGCUGAUAACCGAUAUCCCGGUGUCUCUAACCGCUUCACUGGCACACAGGAUGGGACAGAAUUCACUUUCAAAAUCAGCAGUGUAGAGGUGGGUGACUCUGGCACUUAUUACUGCCAGCAGGACUAUGCAGUCCCUCUCACGGUGUUACAGUCCCGUACAUAA
This is a non-coding RNA of Chinchilla lanigera (long-tailed chinchilla), 410 nucleotides long. The record is from the annotation of a RefSeq genome assembly. NCBI's taxonomy places the organism in Eukaryota, Metazoa, Chordata, Mammalia, Rodentia, Chinchillidae.